UGUUUGCUGAGUAGAAUAAAAUUAGGUGAAGAUAAUAACUUAAAUAGUUUUGUUCAUUUGAAGUGUAAUCUUUUUAAGAUGAUCAUCCUACCUUACUUUAUUUAAUUUGUGCUCGCCUUACAAAGAUAGAGCAAAAAUUAGUUACAUGUCUUGCGCAGCUAAAAAUGAUACUGAAUGUUGUUCGCUCAUCAGAUAUUGCUGUCACAUUACCUGCGAAUAUAUCAUUGCCAUUGCGUACCAUCACACAAUUAGAACAUCUUGAGCAGAUUCUACUCGAAAAAGCUUCAAUGGAUGCAGUGGUUAUGCAUCUUGGUCAGAUCGGUGGGCGAACUGUUGCGGAGACAGU
Molecule: non-coding RNA, 346 nt
Organism: Hydra vulgaris (swiftwater hydra)
Lineage: Eukaryota; Metazoa; Cnidaria; Hydrozoa; Anthoathecata; Hydridae
Source: RefSeq, a predicted model, not a curated record